AUUGAACGCUGGCGGCAGGCUUAACACAUGCAAGUCGAGCGGUAGCACAGGGGAGCUUGCUCCCUGGUGACGAGCGGCGGACGGGUGAGUAAUGUCUGGGAAACUGCCUGAUGGAGGGGGAUAACUACUGGAAACGGUAGCUAAUACCGCAUAACGUCGCAAGACCAAAGAGGGGGACCUUCGGGCCUCUUGCCAUCAGAUGUGCCCAGAUGGGAUUAGCUAGUAGGUGGGGUAAUGGCUCACCUAGGCGACGAUCCCUAGCUGGUCUGAGAGGAUGACCAGCCACACUGGAACUGAGACACGGUCCAGACUCCUACGGGAGGCAGCAGUGGGGAAUAUUGCACAAUGGGCGCAAGCCUGAUGCAGCCAUGCCGCGUGUGUGAAGAAGGCCUUCGGGUUGUAAAGCACUUUCAGCGAGGAGGAAGGUGGUGAGCUUAAUACGUUCAUCAAUUGACGUUACUCGCAGAAGAAGCACCGGCUAACUCCGUG
RNAcentral lists this ribosomal RNA (489 nucleotides) under uncultured bacterium. RNAcentral describes it as "partial 16S ribosomal RNA". It matches the Rfam family "Bacterial small subunit ribosomal RNA", at positions 30 to 507 of the family's 1533-position model. The record is from RNAcentral.